This 497-nucleotide ribosomal RNA is filed under the name uncultured bacterium. Its description in RNAcentral is "bacterial SSU rRNA". It matches the Rfam family "Bacterial small subunit ribosomal RNA", at positions 29 to 524 of the family's 1533-position model. The record is from RNAcentral.
AACGAACGCUGGCGGCGCGCCUAAUACAUGCAAGUCGAGCGAGAAGGUGUAGCAAUACACUUGUAAAGCGGCGAACGGGUGAGGAAUACAUGGGUAAUCUACCAUCGAGUGGGGAAUAACCAACCGAAAGGUUGGCUAAUACCGCGUACGCCUCCGAGUCUUCGGGUUCGGAGGGAAAGCUGCACUGUGAGUGUAGCGCUCUUUGAUGAGCUCAUGUCCUAUCAGCUUGUUGGUAGGGUAACGGCCUACCAAGGCUUUGACGGGUAGCUGGUCUGAGAGGACGAUCAGCCACACUGGCACUGCGACACGGGCCAGACUCCUACGGGAGGCAGCAGUAAGGAAUAUUGCGCAAUGGGCGAAAGCCUGACGCAGCGACGCCGCGUGAGUGAUGAAGGCCUUCGGGUCGUAAAACUCUGUCGGGAGGGACGAAGGGGGCAACCCUGACGGUACCUCGCAAGAAAGCACCGGGCUAACUCUGUGCCAGCAGCCGCGGUAAU